AUGCCACCAGGGCACCUCCUAAGGGAGGUUUUCCUGGCACGUCCAGCUGGGAGGAAGCCACGGGGCACGUCUAGGACCAGGUGGGGAGAUUAUAUCUCCACACUGGCCUGGGAGCACCUCAGUAUCCCCCAGUCAGACCUGGUUGAUGUUGCUAGGGAAAGGGAAGUUUGGGGUCCCCUGCUGAAACUGCUUCCUCCAUGUCGUCACAGCAUCCUCAGCGUUUGCAACCUUCUUAUAGAUGUUAUAAGCAUUCUGGGAGACAGGGCAGUCAGCAGCCAGACACUGGACCUGCUCCACCAGCUGCCCCUUCAGCCUGAGGGCUCAAGGAGAGGAUGGGGGUCUGCAGCGCUCUCCUCCUGCCACAGGGCAGCGCCUUUGCUGUGGAGAUAUUUAGCGCUGUGCUCCACUGCUUUUGACUCCUGGGGGAAGGGUACAACAGAAACUGUUUCAUCAGACACACCAAAGGCCCCUACUGUGUUUCCUCUGGUACAAUGUGGUUCUGAGACCAGUGACACGCUGACUGUCGGCGUCCUCGCCACCGGCUUCACGCCCGCCUCCCUGACCUUCAGCUGUGCCACUGCCAGCGGGACGAACCUGCCCGACUCUCUUCAGUACCCUGCAGUUCAGAAGGACUGCUACUAUUCAGCGGUCAGCCAGAUCCGAGUGAAGAGAUCAGACUUGAAACAAAACAUUAGCUGUACCGUGGACCAUCCAGGAUCAGGAUCAAAAACCGUCUACAUUACAUUGCCAAAACCGGUAACUCCUUCUGCAGUGACUUUGCAGCCCGUGCCUAAUGGAGACACCUACUCCCUAAUAUGUAUGAUUGAGGAUUUGUCCUCAACAAUUUCGUCAGUCACAUGGAGAAAGAACGAGGAGGAAGUGACACAGGGCAAAAUAUCUACAGCUAGAGGCAGCGACUCACUUAUCAGUGUCCUGAAAGUCGACAAGACGGAAUGGGAGAGUAAAUCUGUCUUCAGCUGUGAGGUUCCUCAUCCUGGAGGGCCAAUUACCAAGAAGACUUCCAGUGCUUUCAUCACAGUGAAACUAAACCCUCCAAUUGCAAAAAAGCUUUUCUCAAACAACGAAGUAGAGUUGGACUGCACCAUCACAGGAGAGGACAAAAACAUUGUAUCUAAAACUAUAAUCACCUGGCAAAUUAAUGGAAACAAUUAUACCAACAGUAUCACUGUCAAGAAAGACAGUGAGAAGAGUAAAACCAGCAAACUGCUCCUAAGCCUGCAGGACUGGACAACUGUAAAACAAGUUCGCUGUUCUGCUUACAAGGAAGAAGGCAUGGUGCCAGUCACUCAAGAUCUCACUGUCCACCAUGAAGGUGAAGCCACGAUUAAACCUGUAGUCCACGUUCUCCGAGAAGAAGACAUGCCUAAGGGAGAAUCAGGCGAUAAGGUCACUCUGGUGUGUCUGGUGUCCAGCACCUUGCAGUCUGACUACUAUAUCACCUGGAGUGAACAAGACAGAGGUCAGGUUUCAGACUUCCAAGAUGGUAUCGACUCCCCCCCACAAAAGACCCAGAAUGGCUACUCCGUCACAAGUGUGUACACCACCAGCAAGAAGAAGUGGGACGACAAGGUCAUUUUCACCUGCAAAGUCUGGCCCGCUGGUGCCAGCACCUUCAUGAAGUCAGCAGGAGUUUCUAAAGCGCAGGGUAACACCGUUGUCUGUUGAGUGGAGUCAAUUCAGCUUUAAAUGUUGUGUUUUGCAGUGUGUUCCUCUGUGUGUCUGCGUGUACCCUGUGUUGUGGAAAGUGUGCCCUCUGCGGCAGCAGCAAUCUGUGACUUUGUUAACAUGACAGUCAGCGCGUCAGCUGAGUUUUGUUUGUCAUCAUAUUGUGUGCUGUUACAUUAGAGUCUCUUGUGCAAGUGAACGCCCUGUCUUUA
Molecule: non-coding RNA, 1898 nt
Organism: Myripristis murdjan (pinecone soldierfish)
Lineage: Eukaryota; Metazoa; Chordata; Actinopteri; Holocentriformes; Holocentridae
Source: the annotation of a RefSeq genome assembly